Long non-coding RNA from Xiphophorus couchianus (Monterrey platyfish), 473 nucleotides. RefSeq lists it as uncharacterized. NCBI's taxonomy places the organism in Eukaryota, Metazoa, Chordata, Actinopteri, Cyprinodontiformes, Poeciliidae. The record is from RefSeq and is a predicted model, not a curated record. The transcript is spliced from 3 exons.
UACCAUAUCCAGAGGUUUGAAGAUGUGGUGCACCAGCUCCUCGGACGACGGACUAGCGAUGGUGGAUUUCAGCCGAGCCUGGAGGGAAAACCACAGCUGGUCGUUACACCUGGAGGCUCGGCAGCCGAUAAACGAUCGUCUGGAAGCCAGUGAACACGCCAGUUAUUCCCACUCUGAGGGGAAGCUUUUACUUUGAAAAGCAUCAGGCGGCGUUUACCUUCAGCAGUCUGCUUCUUGCUUUUCUUCUUCUUCUUCUUCCUCUGGGUCAGGAGGUUUGAGGCGUCGGCCGUCUGCUGCAGCUUCCCCAUGAACGACUCGAUGUCGUCGAAGCAGUGGUUCAGGAUCGCCUGAGUGUAGAAGUGAGGAAUGAAACGGGAGCGUACCACUUCUCUCUCGGCUCGCAGGAAGGAGACGUCCGGCCCGUUUGGUCCGUUUGCUGUGGAAUCGGUUCAGUUAUGAUCCUUUUAAUCGGG